This is a long non-coding RNA of Chinchilla lanigera (long-tailed chinchilla), 435 nucleotides long. RefSeq lists it as uncharacterized. The record is from RefSeq and is a predicted model, not a curated record. NCBI's taxonomy places the organism in Eukaryota, Metazoa, Chordata, Mammalia, Rodentia, Chinchillidae. The transcript is spliced from 3 exons.
GGUAAAUCAAGCUACAGGACUGAAUUAGAGCACCAUGGGACACGGCUCUGUUUCCGUGGGUUUCUCGUGAGGACCCUCAACUGUGGAAGAGCUCACCGUGAUACCUUGUUUGCUAUUGGUCAGGCAUUGAGGCUGCUGGGAACUCAGACUAAAAGCAUUCUGGAGCCUAGAGCAAAGUAAGAGAACUACAGUCUUCAAUGGGCUUUGGAACGAAGACACAAGGCUCCGAUACUCUGGACCCCCUUGAAUAUUUGAGAGAUGCUUCAUUCUCUACCACUCCCUUUGAAACUACCUUAUAGAAAGAAAAGUAAGAAGAGUAUGACUGCUCCAGAGGCACUGUCAUCAGACUCGGAGAAAUUACUGAAUCUAUAGCAAGAAGAAAUUACUGGCUCUAUAAAGAAGGUUAAAAUUCUUUUUUUUUUUCUUUCUUAUGUU